UACGAAGGGGGCUAGCGUUGUUCGGAUUUACUGGGCGUAAAGCGCACGUAGGCGGAUUGCUAAGUCAGGGGUGAAAUCCUGGAGCUCAACUCCAGAACUGCCUUUGAUACUGGCGAUCUUGAGUCCGGGAGAGGUGAGUGGAACUGCGAGUGUAGAGGUGAAAUUCGUAGAUAUUCGCAAGAACACCAGUGGCGAAGGCGGCUCACUGGCCCGGUACUGACGCUGA
RNAcentral lists this ribosomal RNA (226 nucleotides) under uncultured bacterium. Its description in RNAcentral is "partial 16S ribosomal RNA". It matches the Rfam family "Bacterial small subunit ribosomal RNA", at positions 524 to 749 of the family's 1533-position model. The record is from RNAcentral.